Malania oleifera is the source of this 1373-nucleotide long non-coding RNA. RefSeq lists it as uncharacterized. The record is from RefSeq and is a predicted model, not a curated record. Lineage: Eukaryota; Viridiplantae; Streptophyta; Magnoliopsida; Santalales; Ximeniaceae. The transcript is spliced from 2 exons.
CUCAGGCAAGGGGACCCCUAUUUAUUUAUCCUUGUUAGGCCUUGUCAUUACUUCAUGGGAGAGCUAUGCAAGGGGGCUUCAUCAGAGGUUUCGAAGUGGGGAUUUUUAUGAGAGGAAGAUUGCUGGUGGCUACGUAAUCUAUGCAGAUGAUUGGAUCAUUUUUUGCGAGGCAGAUGAGGAUCAAUCAAGUGGGAAAUUUCAGGGAAGUGAACCGGUUGCCAGUCUUGUUGAGCUGCGAGAUUGGUAAAUUACCAUCAAUUUAUCUAGAGAUGCCACUUGGUGCUCAGUUAAAACAAAGCCUGUGUGGAAUAGCGUGGCAGAGAAGUUUGAAAGAAGGUUGGCAGGGUGGAAAAGGCAAUAUUUAUCAAAAGGGGAAGGCAAAGUCUAAUCAAGAGUACUCUCUCCCGCUUGCAAACAUAUUUUUUUUCUCUGCUCACCAUCUAUAUGGCAGUGGUAAGCAGGUUGGAAAAGCUUCAAAGAGACUUCUUGCGGGUAAGUGAUUCUGGAAGAAGAAAAUACAACUUGGUCAAGUAGGAAAGUGUGUUCACCAGUCUUGUUUGGUGGGUUGGGUACUUCGAUGCUUCAGACUUGCAAUUAGACCUUGUUAGUAAAACUUGUCUUCAGAGACUUGCUGCAGAGAGAAUCCUUCUAAAAGAAGUUUGUUCAAGCCAAGUACUGCAGCUCAGUAGGUGCUGGUUUUCCAAUGAGAUUAGCCACUCCUGUGGGGGAUACUUUGUGCAAAAGGCAUCAUGAAAGGUAAGGAAGAGUUCUCAAAGUUUAUUGGAUUUAAAGUUUGGGAUAUUGGUAGAAUUAGUUGUUUUGGACCAUGGUGCAAUGACACAUCUCUAAAAGAUAGUUUUCCACUUCUCUGAGAUGGUUGAGUUCCCCAAGAGUCGUGGAAUUUCAUUUGGCAGUGGUUUGAUGUUCAGUUGCUCAUGCCAGAGUGUGAAAUCAGUUUUGGAGCCCUUGAAUUUCGGCGACAUUUCUGGAGGAAGAAAGGAACAGUGGGGUGUGCAGGUUUUGGUGUUUAUGGAGAUAGGGAUGAUGUGGCUUUUGAUGGGAUAGAGAUAUUAGCUCCGAAAUUGGAGUAUAUAUUUAGCCAAACUGUCUUACUGGAAUGCGAGAAAUUUAUGGCAUGACCCUUUAUCCUGUAUGGAAUUUUUUGACAUAUGAUUGCCUUGUAUAGCUCCUUUUUGUUCUUCAGCUGGCGCCACUCUGCUGCUCUUUGAUGGGUCUUUAAAAAAAAGAAAAAUAUCCAAAAGUGGUCAAUAUUGAACUGUCGGUUUUACAUUAACUUGUCUCUUAGAAAAAAAGGAAAAGUUAAGGGUCUCUUUGGUAUCGUUGCUGUUUUUUGUUUCUGUUUUUGCCUAAUG